Molecule: non-coding RNA, 91 nt
Organism: Neurospora crassa OR74A
Lineage: Eukaryota; Fungi; Ascomycota; Sordariomycetes; Sordariales; Sordariaceae
Source: the annotation of a RefSeq genome assembly
GCUUGGUUAGUGGAGCGGUUAUCACUUCGGAUCCUAAUACAGGAAUUUCCUACAGCUUCCGACAACCCUGGUUUGCUUCCAGGAUCGAUUU